AACGCUGGCGGCGUGCCUAAUACAUGCAAGUCGAACGAACUCUGGUAUUGAUUGGUGCUUGCAUCAUGAUUUACAUUUGAGUGAGUGGCGAACUGGUGAGUAACACGUGGGAAACCUGCCCAGAAGCGGGGGAUAACACCUGGAAACAGAUGCUAAUACCGCAUAACAACUUGGACCGCAUGGUCCGAGCUUGAAAGAUGGCUUCGGCUAUCACUUUUGGAUGGUCCCGCGGCGUAUUAGCUAGAUGGUGGGGUAACGGCUCACCAUGGCAAUGAUACGUAGCCGACCUGAGAGGGUAAUCGGCCACAUUGGGACUGAGACACGGCCCAAACUCCUACGGGAGGCAGCAGUAGGGAAUCUUCCACAAUGGACGAAAGUCUGAUGGAGCAACGCCGCGUGAGUGAAGAAGGGUUUCGGCUCGUAAAACUCUGUUGUUAAAGAAGAACAUAUCUGAGAGUAACUGUUCAGGUAUUGACGGUAUUUAACCAGAAAGCCACGGCUAACUACGUGCCAGCAGCCGCGGUAAUACGUAGGUGGCAAGCGUUGUCCGGAUUUAUUGGGCGUAAAGCGAGCGCAGGCGGUUUUUUAAGUCUGAUGUGAAAGCCUUCGGCUCAACCGAAGAAGUGCAUCGGAAACUGGGAAACUUGAGUGCAGAAGAGGACAGUGGAACUCCAUGUGUAGCGGUGAAAUGCGUAGAUAUAUGGAAGAACACCAGUGGCGAAGGCGGCUGUCUGGUCUGUAACUGACGCUGAGGCUCGAAAGUAUGGGUAGCAAACAGGAUUAGAUACCCUGGUAGUCCAUACCGUAAACGAUGAAUGCUAAGUGUUGGAGGGUUUCCGCCCUUCAGUGCUGCAGCUAACGCAUUAAGCAUUCCGCCUGGGGAGUACGGCCGCAAGGCUGAAACUCAAAGGAAUUGACGGGGGCCCGCACAAGCGGUGGAGCAUGUGGUUUAAUUCGAAGCUACGCGAAGAACCUUACCAGGUCUUGACAUACUAUGCAAAUCUAAGAGAUUAGACGUUCCCUUCGGGGACAUGGAUACAGGUGGUGCAUGGUUGUCGUCAGCUCGUGUCGUGAGAUGUUGGGUUAAGUCCCGCAACGAGCGCAACCCUUAUUAUCAGUUGCCAGCAUUAAGUUGGGCACUCUGGUGAGACUGCCGGUGACAAACCGGAGGAAGGUGGGGAUGACGUCAAAUCAUCAUGCCCCUUAUGACCUGGGCUACACACGUGCUACAAUGGAUGGUACAACGAGUUGCGAACUCGCGAGAGUAAGCUAAUCUCUUAAAGCCAUUCUCAGUUCGGAUUGUAGGCUGCAACUCGCCUACAUGAAGUCGGAAUCGCUAGUAAUCGCGGAUCAGCAUGCCGCGGUGAAUACGUUCCCGGGCCUUGUACACACCGCCCGUCACACCAUGAGAGUUUGUAACACCCAAAGUCGGUGGGGUAACCUUUUAGGAACCAGCCGCCUAAGGUGGGACAGA
RNAcentral lists this ribosomal RNA (1474 nucleotides) under Lactiplantibacillus plantarum. Its description in RNAcentral is "bacterial SSU rRNA". It matches the Rfam family "Bacterial small subunit ribosomal RNA". Lineage: Bacteria; Bacillati; Bacillota; Bacilli; Lactobacillales; Lactobacillaceae. The record is from RNAcentral.